This 94-nucleotide transfer RNA is filed under the name Aliivibrio wodanis. RNAcentral's name for it is "tRNA-Gln(ttg)". Lineage: Bacteria; Pseudomonadati; Pseudomonadota; Gammaproteobacteria; Vibrionales; Vibrionaceae. The record is from RNAcentral.
GCCACAUUUACGGUCCUGGAGACCGGUUUGUAAUUUGGCUACAAGGUUGUACGCUUGCAUGUAAAGGCUGUUGGAAUACAGCUAUGUGGCCCCA